GCACGUUAUGGUGGGGACUCAGUGGAGACCGCCGGGGUCAACUCGGAGGAAGGUGGGGAUGACGUCAGGUCAUCAUGGCCCUUAUGGGUAGGGCUACACACGUCAUACAAUGGCCGGGACAGAGGGCUGCCAACCCGCGAGGGGGAGCUAAUCCCAGAAACCCGGUCGUAGUCCGGAUCGUAGUCUGCAACUCGACUGCGUGAAG
RNAcentral lists this ribosomal RNA (205 nucleotides) under Cafeteria roenbergensis. RNAcentral's name for it is "partial Bacterial small subunit ribosomal RNA". It matches the Rfam family "Bacterial small subunit ribosomal RNA", at positions 1121 to 1325 of the family's 1533-position model. The record is from RNAcentral. Lineage: Eukaryota; Bigyra; Bicosoecida; Cafeteriaceae.